This is a long non-coding RNA of Oreochromis aureus, 1275 nucleotides long. The record is from Ensembl. NCBI's taxonomy places the organism in Eukaryota, Metazoa, Chordata, Actinopteri, Cichliformes, Cichlidae.
CUCUGUGUGACCUUCGCUGAUAUUAGAGUCGGGGAGGUUAUUAAGGCAGCCUUCUACCCUGGUCUAGACCCAGGGCGGCCUUAAUUUUAUGCGUUGAAGCGCAACCUUUGACCCCUUCUCACCAGUACAUCGGUCAACACAGGAAACAGUAAGAGUGGUGCAGAAACCUGUUGUUUCUAUUCAAAAGGUCACUCACUCUUCAACAACACAUAAACUUCACACGCGGUACUAUAAUCCUAUUUUAAUUGACACGUUCUUCAUUUUCAUUCACUCGUGAGAGUGAGAUCCCUUUAUUUUCAUUCACUCGUAAGAGUGAGAUCCCUUUAUUUUCAUUCACUCGUGAGAGUGAGAUCCCUUUAUUUUCAUUCACUCGUGAGAGUGAGAUCCCUUUAUUUUCAUUCACUCGUAAGAGUGAGAUCCCUUUAUUUUCAUUCACUCGUGAGAUGAGAUCCCUGACCUCCAGUCCUUAAAGGACGAGUCUUUUAAGAACCGUGUCAAUCUAAAAACCGAUUUUAGCCGCAAUGUGUUCUUGAGUGUUUAUAUUCACCUGGUUCGGAUGAAAAUGCCGGUCAGAGAGAAUCCUCCUCGCUCCCUGGGAUCGUGGACCUCUUGCUAAAAACGCUGGCCAACGGCGAAUUCACGUAGUUGGUCUUUACUGUUUCACUAGAAACAGGCUGUCAUGACAGACUUUGCAGCGUGGGUUCACGAAUCCAGGAAACGACGAGGUCACUCUGUUGGCUCGAAGGACCAAAUAAAUGUAAGGAGUAAAUAUUUAAACAAGACAUUCUUCAGGCGAAAUAAAGACACUCAAGACAGUUUAGAUGGUAACAACGUGCGCACGCUGGGUGAGCGCUGCUGUCUCAGGCUCACCACCAGCGUAUGUGGCAGUUCUUUAUUUAUAGCGUUUCAGAGUAUGUGUGUGUGUGUGUGAAGUUUAUGAUCUCAGAGUGUGUGUGUGUGAUUCUGAAGAAUGGGCCCCUCUUUGUAUUUGGGAGUGUAUAGAUAAGAACGUCCUGCUCUCCCCUUCCUGGGAGUGAAACGGCUCGUAGAGAACCAGGUGCAGAGGAAAUAUACUGGGUGAAUCAUAUCUGAGAACACUAUGCUUUUGUCUUUCAUUUAAGCUUCACUUCAGCGAAACAGUAAAACCAUAAAAUACGAUUAAAUGGAAAGAAUAAAUGGGUAAACAACUAUUAACACUAAAAUUAAAGAUAAACUUUCAAUAACGUACAAAUGGCAGUGGGAAUAAUACUUGAAACAUUUGAAAAUCUCUUAACA